CAGUCAUUUUUGCACGUUUAUUCAAUCAGAAAACUCAGAUGAUUUCUUUUUUUGAAUUAAAUUUGCAAUUGAAAUUCGAAAUCUGUUGGUUGACAUUUUUUUAGUCUUACGGAGAGAUUACGGAGUUAUUGAUGGACAGUGUCCAGUCGAUGGCCCGGUCUACAGAAUAAAGAAAAAUAACCACAAUGUAUCACGCCUUUACCCCUGAGAAGCGUUCUUACCUCUCUGUCAAAGGUGAAUGUAAAAUGAGGGGAGGAAUGGAUGAGCGAUGGAUAAAUUCUCUCGGCGAGUAGUUGUAAUAAUUCAACGAACUAUUCUCACGUGAUUGUUGUCAUCCACGUGGAAUUCGAUGGCGCACGCACUGCGGAAUUUAAUAUUAGCGUCAGUGGAUGGAAAACGCCUCUCAUUUCAGCUCUACAUUCCGUAAUAUGCCUCUGACAUCACGAACACUUGCAUGUCCCAAUUAUCUCGAUCACCUUUCCGAAGCCGGGGCGUCGCAACAUUCGACAUUUCUUAUCAGCUGGCUAAAUCAUCGAAUUAAAAAUAUCAUUCAAUACAUAUUUUUUCCUUUAUCACACACGUAAACCGGUUUUCUCGACUCAGUCGUUAACAUUAGGGUAAAUCCCAGGUGAAAUCAUACAUCUCAAAAGCAACGGAAUUUCUAUUAUCAGUUGAUUGAAGUAGUCACGAAAAAUUUUGCACAAUUCCAUUUUAUUAAUUCAUCAAUAAAAUGAACACAUGAUUUAAUUCAGUCUAGCGAAUUGCCUUUUAUUUAUUUCUAAGAGCCACAAUUCAAUGGAAUUAUUUGAAAGAGUCAGAAAUAAUGAACAAAUUCAAUGACAAUGAUGUUAAUAAAAAGAGAAUAACGUUAAAAUGACGAAUCAGAGAACAGCUUGGUCUUCACGAUGAACUUGACGUGAAGAUGUGGAAAAUCAUUUAUUAAAUUGGAUCUGUUAACUCGAUAAA
This is a long non-coding RNA of Fopius arisanus, 966 nucleotides long. RefSeq lists it as uncharacterized. The transcript is spliced from 2 exons. The record is from RefSeq and is a predicted model, not a curated record. NCBI's taxonomy places the organism in Eukaryota, Metazoa, Arthropoda, Insecta, Hymenoptera, Braconidae.